UAAUUUCCGUAAUAUUGGUAGCAUUGGUGGUCCUUGGGGGUGUAUUCAAUUUUAACUACAGCUUGAAACAUAGAAGCUCAGUCGGAGCUGUGGAAAUUUUCUUACUUCGAAAUCUGAAUGUAAGUGACUACCUACGGGAUGGCUGCCCGGAAUUCGAUUCCCAGCAGAGGCUGAGAAUUUCCUCUGCCGCCACGUCCAGGUCGGCUCUGAGGCCCACCCAACUUCCUCUCCGACGGGUACUAGGGGCGAAGGGAUAGCUGCCGGCAGACGGAAUUCACCGUUCACCAAGGCAGCAUGGAACUGGUGUAUCUCACUGAAUUUGCCUUCAUUAAGGCACUCGACAACAGACAAGUUACCAACCUUGGAAAUGAAAUAACUACUGACAUUAAUACGGAGAUGACGUCUUCUGCAAUUCUGGACCGCGUAGUCUCCUAGAAAUUGACCAACGUUUUAUAGGAGCUUACGGCAGGCAGUGCCAGACUACAACGUGUGAGGUGUGACAAACCAGACGACACCCAUCUUCGUA
Molecule: long non-coding RNA, 526 nt
Organism: Zootermopsis nevadensis
Lineage: Eukaryota; Metazoa; Arthropoda; Insecta; Blattodea; Termopsidae
Source: RefSeq, a predicted model, not a curated record